ACGUACACUCCUGCGGGAGGCAGCAGUGAGGAAUAUUGGACAAUGGGUGGAAGCCUGAUCCAGCCAUCCCGCGUGCAGGAAGACGGCCCUAUGGGUUGUAAACUGCUUUUAUCUGUGGAUAAACCUACUUACGUGUAAGUAGCUGAAGGUACCAGAAGAAUAAGCACCGGCUAACUCCGUGCCAGCAGCCGCGGUAAUACGGAGGGUGCAAGCGUUAUCCGGAUUUAUUGGGUUUAAAGGGUCCGUAGGCGGACUGAUAAGUCAGUGGUGAAAUCCGACAGCUUAACUGUCGAACUGCCAUUGAUACUGUUAGUCUUGAGUAAGGUUGAAGUGGCUGGAAUAAGUAGUGUAGCGGUGAAAUGCAUAGAUAUUACUUAGAACACCAAUUGCGAAGGCAGGUCACUAAGUCUUAACUGACGCUGAUGGACGAAAGCGUGGGGAGCGAACAGGAUUAGAAACCCGGGUAGUCCC
RNAcentral lists this ribosomal RNA (471 nucleotides) under uncultured organism. RNAcentral's name for it is "partial 16S ribosomal RNA". It matches the Rfam family "Bacterial small subunit ribosomal RNA", at positions 329 to 797 of the family's 1533-position model. The record is from RNAcentral.